GAUGAACGCUAGCGGCAGGCCUAAUACAUGCAAGUCGAACGGUGUAGCAAUACAUAGUGGCGCACGGGUGCGUAACACGUAUGCAACCUACCUUAUACUGGGGGAUAGCCUUUGGAAACGGAGAUUAAUACCCCAUAGUACAUUUAGAUGGCAUCAUUUGAAUGUUAAAGAUUUAUCGGUAUAAGCUGGGCAUGCGUCCAAUUAGUUAGUUGGUGAGGUAACGGCUCACCUAGACUUUGAUUGGUAGGGGAACUGAGAGGUUAAUCCCCCACACUGGCACUGAGAUACGGGCCAGACUCCUACGGGAGGCAGCAGUAGGGAAUAUUGGGCAAUGGAGGCAACUCUGACCCAGCCAUGCCGCGUGCAGGAAGAAGGCGUUAUGCGUUGUAAACUGCUUUUAUAUAGGAAGAAAUAGUCCUUGCGAGGAAAGUUGACGGUACUAUAUGAAUAAGCACCGGCUAACUCCGUGCCAGCAGCCGCCGUAA
Molecule: ribosomal RNA, 485 nt
Filed under: uncultured bacterium
Lineage: Bacteria
Description: partial 16S ribosomal RNA
Rfam family: Bacterial small subunit ribosomal RNA
Source: RNAcentral